AUGAGGUCUGAGUCGAAAAGGCACCUCACAAUUCAACUCGGUUGUGACAUUCAACAAACGAGGUCUGAGUCGAAAAGUAUUCUCAUCUGGAUACACUUAAACUUAAAAAUGUAAGGGACAAGUUUGAAAGUUCAUAACCAGAUUGUCGAUUGAAUCGCGUUGAAGAACCAUGGAAGGGGAAAUAUCAUCUAUUUGAACGAUAUUGACGGCAAAACAAGAGCUUUUACAAUAAAGGUAAAAGUCGUUAGGCUAUGGAAGAGAUCAAAUCCCAAAAAGGUUGGUGAGACAUGGGCUAUUGUUAUGGUGCUCAUAGAUUAAGAGGGAACCAAAAUGCAGGCCACUGUGU
This 346-nucleotide long non-coding RNA is filed under the name Helianthus annuus (common sunflower). Its description in RNAcentral is "hypothetical non coding rna". Lineage: Eukaryota; Viridiplantae; Streptophyta; Magnoliopsida; Asterales; Asteraceae. The record is from RNAcentral.